Molecule: ribosomal RNA, 243 nt
Filed under: Triticum aestivum (bread wheat)
Lineage: Eukaryota; Viridiplantae; Streptophyta; Magnoliopsida; Poales; Poaceae
Description: partial small subunit ribosomal RNA
Source: RNAcentral
AUGAUAUUUGCCUUUGAAUGCUUUCAUGGUGGGUGGGGCGUGGUUAGGCUAGUGGGUGUCCCACACAAGGAGGUGGCAUUCAAUACCCACCUGAUGAACUUCCUCAGUGGUAAGGCCUUGAAAGAUGCCUUCUUUGGGAACUACAAGCCACACACCAACCUCCCAGAUGUUGUCAAGAUUUACACGAGGAAGGAGCUGGAGCUGGAGCUGGAGAAGUUCAUCACGCACGACGGACCUUUCUAA